RNAcentral lists this ribosomal RNA (468 nucleotides) under uncultured bacterium. RNAcentral describes it as "partial 16S ribosomal RNA". It matches the Rfam family "Bacterial small subunit ribosomal RNA", at positions 28 to 507 of the family's 1533-position model. The record is from RNAcentral.
GACGAACGCUGGCGGCGUGCUUAACACAUGCAAGUCGAACGGAAAGGCCCUGCUUUUGUGGGGUGCUCGAGUGGCGAACGGGUGAGUAACACGUGAGUAACCUGCCCUUGACUUUGGGAUAACUUCAGGAAACUGGGGCUAAUACCGGAUAGGAGCUCCUGCUGCAUGGUGGGGGUUGGAAAGUUUCGGCGGUUGGGGAUGGACUCGCGGCUUAUCAGCUUGUUGGUGGGGUAGUGGCUUACCAAGGCUUUGACGGGUAGCCGGCCUGGGAGGGUGGACGGCCACAAUAGGACUGAGGUAGGGACCAGAGUGCUACGGGAGGCAGCAGGGGGGAGUAUUGCACAAUGGGCGGAAGCCUGAUGCGGAAGCGCCGCGUGCGUAAUGCCGGCCUUCGGGUUGUAAACCGCUUUCGCCUGUGACGAAGCGUGAGUGACGGUAAUGAGUAAAGAAGCACCGGCUAACUACGUG